GCCCCCAUGGUGUAGCGGUCAGCACGCGGGCCUUUCACGCCCGUAGCGGGGGUUCGAUUCCCCCUGGGGGUAC
Molecule: transfer RNA, 73 nt
Filed under: Capillimicrobium parvum
Lineage: Bacteria; Bacillati; Actinomycetota; Thermoleophilia; Solirubrobacterales; Capillimicrobiaceae
Description: tRNA-Glu
Rfam family: tRNA
About the family: Transfer RNA (tRNA) molecules are approximately 80 nucleotides in length. Their secondary structure includes four short double-helical elements and three loops (D, anti-codon, and T loops).
Source: RNAcentral